UGUGUUUCUGUUGUUUUUGUUUUGUUGUUUAUAUGAGUAGUUGUCUUCAUAAAACACAACCAUCAAGGUUUAAGGAUGGAAUGGAUAAAAUAUGGUUGUGACAAAAAAAAGAGUGUUGUUUUGGAAUUGAAGUGAAAAUUUUGUGACAAAACAUUAAAUGUGUAUGAAGGGAAUUGGUGGGAUUGAGGUAGUGCAUUAAUUAGAGGAAGAGUGUGGUAGUGUUAGUGUUAUGCACUCAACUGCCACAACUGCCAAAACUCACCGAAGGAGUUAUUAAUGCAAUUUUGAAUUGGGAGGUGGUGAUGAUGAUGAUUCAAGAUUCAAGAUUCAACAAACAGUGUUUGUUGUUCUUUUGUUUGGUUUUGUUCAAGUUUUCACUGUAAACAAGUCGAGUCUUGUUUGUGUUUUUAUGUAUAAAGGUUGUAAACAUGAAAUAAAUGCAAAAAACCAAACUAUUGAUUUGUAGUACCAGUAGAAAUUUCGUGGAAUUAGAG
This 494-nucleotide long non-coding RNA is filed under the name Medicago truncatula (barrel medic). Its description in RNAcentral is "lncRNA gene932". The record is from RNAcentral. Lineage: Eukaryota; Viridiplantae; Streptophyta; Magnoliopsida; Fabales; Fabaceae.